This 490-nucleotide ribosomal RNA is filed under the name uncultured bacterium. Its description in RNAcentral is "partial 16S ribosomal RNA". It matches the Rfam family "Bacterial small subunit ribosomal RNA", at positions 28 to 507 of the family's 1533-position model. The record is from RNAcentral.
GAUGAACGCUAGCUACAGGCUUAACACAUGCAAGUCGAGGGGCAGCGGGAUUGAAGCUUGCUUCAAUUGCCGGCGACCGGCGCACGGGUGAGUAACGCGUAUCCAACCUUCCGUACACUCAGGGAUAGCCUUUCGAAAGAAAGAUUAAUACCUGAUGGUAUGAUGAGAUUGCAUGAUAUCAUCAUUAAAGAUUUAUCGGUGUACGAUGGGGAUGCGUUCCAUUAGGUAGUAGGCGGGGUAACGGCCCACCUAGCCAACGAUGGAUAGGGGUUCUGAGAGGAAGGUCCCCCACAUUGGAACUGAGACACGGUCCAAACUCCUACGGGAGGCAGCAGUGAGGAAUAUUGGUCAAUGGACGAGAGUCUGAACCAGCCAAGUAGCGUGAAGGAUGAAGGUCCUACGGAUUGUAAACUUCUUUUAUAAGGGAAUAAACCCGCCCACGUGUGGGAGCUUGUAUGUACCUUAUGAAUAAGCAUCGGCUAACUCCGUG